This 250-nucleotide ribosomal RNA is filed under the name uncultured bacterium. RNAcentral's name for it is "partial 16S ribosomal RNA". It matches the Rfam family "Bacterial small subunit ribosomal RNA", at positions 524 to 773 of the family's 1533-position model. The record is from RNAcentral.
UACGUAGGUGGCGAGCGUUGUCCGGAAUCACUGGGCGUAAAGGGCGCGUAGGCGGUUUAUCAAGUCGCAUGUGAAAUACCAGGGCUUAACUUUGGGGGUGCAUGCGAAACUGGUGGACUUGAGCGCAGUAGAGGUAAGCGGAAUUCCUGGUGUAGCGGUAAGAUGCGUAGAGAUCAGGAGGAACACCGGUGGCGAAGGCGGCUUACUGGGCUGUAACUGACGCUGAUGUGCGAAAGCGUGGGGAGCAAAC